UGUAGACAAAAUAAACAGCACACCGAAAAAUAAAAUAAUGGAUGGAUCUGAUCUUCUUUGUUUUGGUUACUUCAAGCAAACAAAUAAAAAUAAAAAGUGUAAAGCAUAAACAUGACUGUAAACGAGGACUUUACCAAAUUGUUCUUUUCAUUCAUGUACAAUUGUAUCCAAUUCAGACUUCCUACGAAGAUAAAUAUUUUAAGCAGAUAUUCAAUGAUAAUUCCGAACUGUGUUUUUCUUCAAAUGUAUUGAUAUAUAUAU
Biomphalaria pfeifferi is the source of this 261-nucleotide non-coding RNA. Lineage: Eukaryota; Metazoa; Mollusca; Gastropoda; Planorbidae. The record is from the annotation of a GenBank genome assembly.